RNAcentral lists this ribosomal RNA (442 nucleotides) under uncultured bacterium. RNAcentral's name for it is "SSU rRNA". It matches the Rfam family "Bacterial small subunit ribosomal RNA", at positions 26 to 518 of the family's 1533-position model. The record is from RNAcentral.
AGAGCGAACGCUGGCGGCAGGCCUAACACAUGCAAGUCGAGCGCCCCGCAAGGGGAGCGGCAGACGGGAGAGUAACACGUGGGAACGUACCCUUCAGUUCGGAACAACCCAGGGAAACUUGGGCUAAUACCGAAUACGUCCGUAAGGAGAAAGAUUUAUCGCUGAAGGAUCGGCCCGCGUCUGAUUAGCUUGUUGGUGAGGUAAUGGCUCACCAAGGCUACGAUCAGUAGCUGGUCUGAGAGGAUGAUCAGCCUCACUGGGACUGAGACACGGCCCAGACUCCUACGGGAGGCAGCAGUGGGGAAUAUUGGACAAUGGGCGCAAGCCUGAUCCAGCCAUGCCGCGUGGGUGAUGAAGGCCCUAGGGUUGUAAAGCCCUUUCGGCGGGGAAGAUAAUGACGGUACCCGCAGAAGAAGCCCGGCUAACUCGUGCCAGCAGCCGC